CACGUAGGGCGCAAGCGUUGUCCGGAAUUAUUGGGCGUAAAGAGCUCGUAGGCGGUCUGUUGCGUCCGCUGUGAAAACUCGGGGCUUAACCCCGAGCCUGCAGUGGAUACGGGCAGACUAGAGGUAGGUAGGGGAGAAUGGAAUUCCCGGUGUAGCGGUGAAAUGCGCAGAUAUCAGGAGGAACACCAGCGGCGAAGGCGGCGCUCUGGGCCGGUACUGACGCUGAGGAGCGAAAGCGUGGGUAGCAAACAGG
Molecule: ribosomal RNA, 253 nt
Filed under: uncultured bacterium
Lineage: Bacteria
Description: partial 16S ribosomal RNA
Rfam family: Bacterial small subunit ribosomal RNA
Source: RNAcentral